RNAcentral lists this transfer RNA (71 nucleotides) under Candidatus Chazhemtobacterium aquaticus. Its description in RNAcentral is "tRNA-Gly". It matches the Rfam family "tRNA". From Rfam's summary of the family: Transfer RNA (tRNA) molecules are approximately 80 nucleotides in length. Lineage: Bacteria; Candidatus Chazhemtobacteraceae. The record is from RNAcentral.
GCGGGAUUAGUUCAACGGUAGAACAUUUGCUUCCCAAGCAAAAAACACGGGUUCAAUUCCCGUAUCCCGCU